RNAcentral lists this ribosomal RNA (497 nucleotides) under uncultured bacterium. Its description in RNAcentral is "partial 16S ribosomal RNA". It matches the Rfam family "Bacterial small subunit ribosomal RNA", at positions 28 to 507 of the family's 1533-position model. The record is from RNAcentral.
GAUGAACGCUGGCGGCGUGCCUAAUACAUGCAAGUCGAGCGAACAGAUGAGGAGCUUGCUCCUCUGACGUUAGCGGCGGACGGGUGAGUAACACGUGGAUAACCUACCUAUAAGACUGGGAUAACUUCGGGAAACCGGAGCUAAUACCGGAUAAUAUAUUGAACCGCAUGGUUCAAUAGUGAAAGACGGUUUUGCUGUCACUUAUAGAUGGAUCCGCGCCGCAUUAGCUAGUUGGUAAGGUAACGGCUUACCAAGGCAACGAUGCGUAGCCGACCCGAGGGGGUGAUCGGCCACACUGGAACUGAGACACGGUCCAGACUCCUACGGGAGGCCGCAGUAGGGAAUCUUCCGCAAUGGGCGAAAGCCUGACGGAGCAACGCCGCGUGAGUGAUGAAGGUCUUCGGAUCGUAAAACUCUGUUAUUAGGGAAGAACAAAUGUGUAAGUAACUAUGCACGUCUUGACGGUACCUAAUCAGAAAGCCACGGCUAACUACGUG